RNAcentral lists this long non-coding RNA (1409 nucleotides) under Canis lupus familiaris (dog). RNAcentral describes it as "lncRNA (ENSCAFG00000052873.1)". Lineage: Eukaryota; Metazoa; Chordata; Mammalia; Carnivora; Canidae. The record is from RNAcentral.
GCUGACCUGUUAAAUCCAACCCAACCCCAGUGUCUAGUUCAAAUGUUAUGUCCCCAGAUCAAGCCACAGAAAAUGACAUGUCUUCCUCCGAAUCCUAGAAUUCGGUAGUGUGAUUUAGGGCACUUUCUGACGUUGUUAACUUAAUGCCCAGAUUAUAAACCAGAUUUUGACCCUAGAUGAUACAAUCUCUAAAUAUAAGGCUGUGUUUUCUUCAUAUUUGCUUUCCACAGUGCCUAAUUGUGUGCUUUCCAAAUAGCAGAUGAUGAAUAUUAUUAUUGAGCAAUUAUGGAACUUUAGCCUAAAUCGCUCCAACAGAUUUACUAAGUGUCCCUUGAAUUCUCCUAGCUGUAAGCAUUGGAAGUUCAGCCUAGAUUAGCCAGUACUGCAUUCUUUACAGAUCUGUUUCCCACAGUUUCUAUCUACUCGUAUCACUGGAGGAAGUUCAUAUUCAUUAAUCUUAUAGCUUUUCUUAUAAACUGCUCCGUAGAGAAACUCAGUAAAAAAACACUCACAUGGUCCCUUCAAAAGAAAAAAGUAACUAGAGGCUAGAUGGUAUCAAGCUAGUGAAAAAUGAUAUUGAACUAUGUUAAAUGACAUAUGAGUAAGUGUUAAACAAAAACACCCAUCUGGAUUUUUCUCAAGGUAAAUGUUUUUUUCUGCCCGUAUAAAUCACUAAAGCCAUUAUUCACUGUAUUCUUAUUCUGUCUCUUAUAGGUAUCCUUCUAGUUUCCACUGACAAGUGACAAGAAAUAUUAAUUGUGAGCAAAGGUUUAAUUAUAUAUUGGGAAAUAAGGUACCUGAGAGAUACAUCUCUAGUGACUGAGAGCAGAUUUCUAAAACUGACUGAACCUCAGCCACUCUGUGCAUCUGAAUUUUCUUUCUGCAUUAAUGAAAAUGGCCAAAUAGUUCAAACAGAUUUUUUUUUUAACUGUGUACUAUUAGCUUCAUACCCUGUUGGCAAAGCAGGAAGUAAAAAAAUAAAAUAAAAUAAAAAGCCAAGAUUUCUGCUAAUGAUGACCCUACAAAGGAAACAGGUUUAAUUCAUAUCCAUGGCAGCAUGAGGAGUAAGAGUGGGAUGGCUUUCCUGGUUGCUGGUUCCUCGAGCUUCUUUUUUUUGUACUAUGUCAACCUAUGGACUAUCUUGGGGUUUUACAUAUGUUGUCUCUUUUCCAACUAGAUAACCCAGUUACUGUACCUAUGUGAUCGUUAUAAAAUGCUGCGGAGUAUGCCAGUGGGUUAAGGUAACCAUGAUGCUAGAAAAAAAUAAGCAAAUACUAGAUUUAUCAGUGCUUAAAGUCCUUUGGCCAUUUCUGUCAACUUCGCUUCAGUCUCUGUCUUCUAGCCUCUUGGUGAAGUUACUCCUCCUGUACUUCUUUCUCAAAGGUAAAAAAAAAAAAAAAAAAAAAAAA